This 253-nucleotide ribosomal RNA is filed under the name uncultured bacterium. RNAcentral describes it as "partial 16S ribosomal RNA". It matches the Rfam family "Bacterial small subunit ribosomal RNA", at positions 524 to 776 of the family's 1533-position model. The record is from RNAcentral.
UACGUAGGGACCAAGCGUUGUUCGGAUUUACUGGGCGUAAAGGGCGCGUAGGCGGCAAUUCAAGUCAUCUGUGAAAUCUCCGGGCUUAACCCGGAACGGUCAGAUGAUACUGCUUUGCUAGAGUGCGGAAGGGGCAAUCGGAAUUCUUGGUGUAGCGGUGAAAUGCGUAGAUAUCAAGAGGAACACCUGAGGUGAAGACGGGUUGCUGGGCCGACACUGACGCUGAUGCGCGAAAGCCAGGGGAGCGAACGGG